Molecule: ribosomal RNA, 1225 nt
Filed under: metagenome
Description: bacterial SSU rRNA
Rfam family: Bacterial small subunit ribosomal RNA
Source: RNAcentral
GGGUAGCUGGUCUGAGAGGAUGGUCAGCCACACUGGGACUGAGAUACGGCCCAGACUCCUACGGGAGGCAGCAGUCGAGAGGCUUCGGCAAUGGGGGAAACCCUGACCGAGCGACGCCGCGUGGGCGAUGAAGGCCGUUAGGUUGUAAAGCCCUGUCGAGCGGGAAAAAUUGCAGGCGGGUGAACAAUCCGUCUGUUUGAUGGUACCGCUAAAGGAAGCUCCGGCCAACUCCGUGCCAGCAGCCGCGGUAAUACGGGGGGAGCGAACGUUGUUCGGAAUUACUGGGCGUAAAGGGCGUGCAGGCGGUCCUGUAAGAGAGUUGUGAAUGCCCUGGCUCAACCAGGGAAAUGCACCUCUGACUGCAGGACUUGAGUAUGGGAGAGGAUAGGGGAAUUCCCGGUGUAGCGGUGAAAUGCAUUGAUAUCGGGAGGAACACCAGUGGCGAAGGCGCCCAUCUGGCCUAAUACUGACGCUCAGGCGCGAAAGCUAGGGGAGCAAACAGGAUUAGAUACCCUGGUAGUCCUAGCCGUAAACGGUGGGCACUAGGUGUAGGAGGCAUCGACCCCUCCUGUGCCGCAGCUAACGCAUUAAGUGCCCCGCCUGGGGAGUACGACCGCAAGGUUGAAACUCAAAGGAAUUGACGGGGGCCCGCACAAGCGGUGGAGCAUGUGGUUUAAUUCGAUACAACGCGAAGAACCUUACCCAGACUUGACAUGCACUGGACCGGUGUGGAAACACACCUUCCCUUCGGGGCCGGUGCACAGGUGCUGCAUGGCUGUCGUCAGCUCGUGUCGUGAGAUGUUGGGUUAAGUCCCGCAACGAGCGCAACCCUUGUCCUUAGUUGCCAUCAAGUUAUGUUGGGCACUCUAGGGAGACUGCCGUCGAUAAGGCGGAGGAAGGUGGGGAUGACGUCAAGUCCUCAUGGUCCUUACGUCUGGGGCUACACACGUGCUACAAUGGUCGGUACAGAGGGUUGCAAUGCCGCGAGGUGGAGCCAAUCCCACAAAACCGGCCUCAGUUCGGAUUGCAGUCUGCAACUCGGCUGCAUGAAGUUGGAAUCGCUAGUAAUCGCUGAUCAGCAGGCAGCGGUGAAUAUGUUCCCGGGCCUUGUACACACCGCCCGUCAAGCCACGAAAGUUGGCAGUACCCGACGUCGCUGUCCUAACCGCAAGGAGGGAGGCGCCUAAGGUAAGGCCACUGAUUGGGGCUAAGUCGUAACAAGGUA